Molecule: long non-coding RNA, 1571 nt
Filed under: Dermacentor andersoni
Lineage: Eukaryota; Metazoa; Arthropoda; Arachnida; Ixodida; Ixodidae
Description: uncharacterized LOC126527225
Source: RNAcentral
CUAGCCGGCAUUAAUGGACACGGGAGAGCAGCGCAGCCAUGUGCACGCCGCUUCUACUCUAAACGGACGAGCAUUGUUUGUUUGCUGCUCCUCCCGUGUCCACAAGUAUUGGCGAGCAACCUUGUUUGAAUGUAUAUUCGUCGCGGAAGGCUUAUUAAUGUGUGGUGAGGUCGAGUCCAAUCAUCCAAUGUUCCGGAUUUAAGCGCUCUAACCUGUCGCAGUGAGGCCCUGAUGUGAAGUCCCGACACUGGAUGCAGUGACCUGUCCUUGAGUCGCAUGUGUCUGCGUGACCGUUGCAGUCGCAGCGCUGGCAGUUGGGGUAGUUCCAGAAGCCAGGCUGGCAUUCGUCGCACUGUCGGCCGUACGUGUUGGGCCGGCAUUUGCACUGGCCCGUCUGGGCAUCGCAGAAGUUGUCCAGGGAACCAAUUCCAUUGCAGUCGCAUGCUGGAAGUGAAUGCCUGCCAAGUCACUUUACCAUUGGAGGCUAUGCAUUAUAUGUAAAGCUUCCAGAUUCAUGAAUAGCGUUAUGAAUACACAUUACAGGCGAGAAGUCCGGAAACAAAUCCCCAUGUCAUGCAUAGUACCAGUAACAUGUAACUGCAGGGAGAGUCAUGCAUGCUCUCACAAUGCCAAUGCAGCUACAAGCACAUUCUUUGGCAAUGAAAAAAAAGGAAUUCAAACAAUCAUCAGGGGAAACAUUUGUUUGCCCAGGAGCAAGUACAGUUAAACCUCAAUAUAAUGAACUUCAAUAUAAUUAAAUUCUCAGUAUAAUGAAGUAUUUACAUUUUUAUAACUUUAUAACUGCUAUAGAUAGUAGCAGUAUAUAUGUGUGACAGUAGUAUGGUGUAGGCCGCAUUCCUGAGCAAUUCAUCAUAUCAACACAUAAAACCAUGCAUUCUGUGCUAGAAAAAUGCACAAUUUCUGCUCUACAAGAUGCUGAAAACGGACUGUGCCACCUUCUGAAAACUUAAAACAAACAUGCUUCAACUGCUGUUAUGUUUCACUUGUGGUCUCUUGUGAUUUCUAGUUUUCUUUUAACUUGUGACCAAGCACAUAGUACAAGAUAACAUUCCGAGUCUUCUAAGAAUCAUUGGUCAUUAUACUUUCUACAUCCUCCAUCCGUCAGUCGAAGCUACUACUAGUUGGGCGAGUUGCCUCGGCUUUGAUGCAAGGAUGAAAAUGUGUGUUAAAAAAAAAAGAAAAAAAAGACAUGCCAGUGUAGUUAGUGUCUGUGAUGUUGACAGAAAAAGAAUUCCUUUUCGGAUAUGUGACAAGAUAGUAGUGCUCACGACUGAGUGGACAUAUCUUUUGUACAUAUAUUGGUUAAUUUAAUUAUUUUAAUGCCCAGAGGCAUUAUAUAUGGAAGUGAUGAUUAAGAAAGAAGUGCAGUAUCUAUAAGUGACAUGGCGGAGGUAGGUUGCCUUUGGGAUAAAUGAGUCAAAAAUGGAAUUUAUGUGACAAAAAGGAACAGCAAAUUUCAGCAAGCGAUCAGUACAAAAUGACAUACAAUGUGGCUUACUAAGGAGUGGUACAUGUGUCGACAGGGUUUAUUGAAUAAGACCGUCUGAAGC